This 150-nucleotide unclassified non-coding RNA is filed under the name uncultured Mortierella. Its description in RNAcentral is "sequence contains ITS1". Lineage: Eukaryota; Fungi; Mortierellomycota; Mortierellomycetes; Mortierellales; Mortierellaceae. The record is from RNAcentral.
UAAUAAGUGUUUUAUGGCACUUUUUAAAUCCAUAUCCACCUUGUGUGCAAUGUCAGUCGAUCUUCUUCAUGGAGAUCGACCAAACAUCAACCUUUAUUUUUUAACAACAUUCGUCUGAUAACAUAUUAUGAAUAUACUUAAUUCAAAAUA